RNAcentral lists this ribosomal RNA (475 nucleotides) under uncultured bacterium. Its description in RNAcentral is "bacterial SSU rRNA". It matches the Rfam family "Bacterial small subunit ribosomal RNA", at positions 30 to 490 of the family's 1533-position model. The record is from RNAcentral.
AUUGAACGCUGGCGGCAUGCCUUACACAUGCAAGUCGAACGGCAGCAUGGAAGAGCUUGCUCUUCUGAUGGCGAGUGGCGAACGGGUGAGUAAAGCAUCGGAACGUACCGUGUAGUGGGGGAUAACGUAGCGAAAGUUACGCUAAUACCGCAUACGCACUGAGGUGGAAAGCAGGGGAUCGCAAGACCUCGCGCGAUUGGAGCGGCCGAUGUCAGAUUAGCUAGUUGGUGGGGUAAAGGCCCACCAAGGCGACGAUCUGUAGCUGGUCUGAGAGGACGACCAGCCACACUGGGACUGAGACACGGCCCAGACUCCUACGGGAGGCAGCAGUGGGGAAUUUUGGACAAUGGGCGCAAGCCUGAUCCAGCAAUGCCGCGUGCAGGAAGAAGGGCCUUCGGGUUGUAAACUGCUUUUGUACGGUAACGAAAAGGUCUGGGUUAAUACCCUGGGCUCAUGACGGUACCGUAAGAAUAAG